This 72-nucleotide transfer RNA is filed under the name Chloroflexota bacterium. Its description in RNAcentral is "tRNA-Asn". It matches the Rfam family "tRNA". From Rfam's summary of the family: Transfer RNA (tRNA) molecules are approximately 80 nucleotides in length. The record is from RNAcentral. Lineage: Bacteria; Bacillati; Chloroflexota.
UCCUCGAUAGCUCAACGGUAGAGCAAUCGGCUGUUAACCGAUUGGUUCCAAGUUCGAAUCUUGGUCGAGGAG